Molecule: ribosomal RNA, 489 nt
Filed under: uncultured bacterium
Lineage: Bacteria
Description: partial 16S ribosomal RNA
Rfam family: Bacterial small subunit ribosomal RNA
Source: RNAcentral
GAUGAACGCUAGCUACAGGCUUAACACAUGCAAGUCGAGGGGCAGCAUGAACUUAGCUUGCUAAGUUUGAUGGCGACCGGCGCACGGGUGAGUAACACGUAUCCAACCUGCCGAUGACUCGGGGAUAGCCUUUCGAAAGAAAGAUUAAUACCCGAUGGCAUAGUUCUUCCGCAUGGUAGAACUAUUAAAGAAUUUCGGUCAUCGAUGGGGAUGCGUUCCAUUAGGUUGUUGGCGGGGUAACGGCCCACCAAGCCUUCGAUGGAUAGGGGUUCUGAGAGGAAGGUCCCCCACAUUGGAACUGAGACACGGUCCAAACUCCUACGGGAGGCAGCAGUGAGGAAGAUUGGUCAAUGGACGAGAGUCUGAACCAGCCAAGUAGCGUGAAGGAUGACUGCCCUAUGGGUUGUAAACUUCUUUUAUACGGGAAUAAAGUGAGGCACGGGUGCCUUUUUGUAUGUACCGUAUGAAUAAGGAUCGGCUAACUCCGUG